UACGUAGGGGGCAAGCGUUGUCCGGAUUCAUUGGGCGUAAAGAGCGUGUAGGCGGCCAGGUAGGUCGGUUGUGAAAACUGGAGGCUCAACCUUCAGACGUCGACCGAAACCAUCUGGCUAGAGUCCGGGAGAGGAGAGUGGAAUUCCUGGUGUAGCGGUGAAAUGCGCAGAUAUCUGGAGGAAUACCGGUGGCGAAGGCGGCAUCCUGGACCAUUACUGACGCUGAGGCGCGAAAGCUAGGGGAGCAAACGGG
RNAcentral lists this ribosomal RNA (253 nucleotides) under uncultured bacterium. Its description in RNAcentral is "partial 16S ribosomal RNA". It matches the Rfam family "Bacterial small subunit ribosomal RNA", at positions 524 to 776 of the family's 1533-position model. The record is from RNAcentral.